Molecule: long non-coding RNA, 1239 nt
Filed under: Lynx canadensis (Canada lynx)
Lineage: Eukaryota; Metazoa; Chordata; Mammalia; Carnivora; Felidae
Description: lncRNA (ENSLCNG00005009529.1)
Source: RNAcentral
UGGGCACAUUAGUAUUAGGAUACAGGGUUGCUCACAAACACGGAAGGCAGGGAUUGUGAAAGGGACUAGACACAUGACUGAAGAAGCCCCAUGUUUCCCAGUCAGUACUUGCCUCUACCUCAUACUUCUCCCUCCACUUAGCCUUUUUUAUCUCCUCUGUUCUCUCUGCAGGGCAACACUCCAUGCCUUUCCCAACCCUUGUGGGCAGAUGGAUAUUUCACUGCUCUUGAACUUCCAUCAGCUCCAUUUGAAUAACAUGCUGGCUCUCCCCGGGCUAUCUCAGAAUCUGAUUUUCAAAUUUUUGAGAGAAUCCAACUGGCCCAUUCAACCUUGGCCAGAGAAGGAGAAUCUCCAGUCAGAGGUCACUAGGGAUGAGCAGAAUAGUGACUUAAUUAUGGAAAAAGCCAAUCUGCUUCAAGAUUCCUAGUCCACUCUCUGGAUCAAGCACACCAAGGAGAAGAUUGACCAUGGCCAUGUUAAAGGAAGGGCUCAGACUGAGUAGUCCCAACCUCAUGACUGAAAUGCAUGUAGAACCUACUGAUUUCCUAAACUAUGAGUUUGUUCUCAGGCUGGAUCUCACUUUGGAGCAGAAUUUGACUAAUCUUUGCCUCUGUCCAACGGAUGGUGUGAGGCCUGUUUUGGUGGCAAAGGACCACACUGCUUGCAACAGAUCCCAUAGAUGUUGCCCCAGUCUGUAUAAUUUUCAUCAAGUCAUGACAGCAGCACCAAAGGGGCUAAGUGGCAUUUCAAUUGUGUUUGGUCUAAAGUUUCUAAAACCUCAUCAAUGCUAUUAAAAACAAUAACAUUAUGCCAGAAAGAGUCGCAGAGGAAACAAAACAUUAUGGGGUUCUAAGAAACAUGGUAAUCAAAGACAGCUGAGCCUAAAAAGACAAAUCCAUGUCAAUGACUUCAAGGAAAUAAAAAUACAUUUAAAAUGUUUGAGUAAAUCAACUUCACAAAUGGCCAUUAGGAGAAGAGUAGCAAUACUAGUUUUUGCCCUGCUUUGCUUCCUUUUUUGACCUGUCCCUUGCCAACUUCAUGGAAUUAUGGUAGGACUAGGGACCACAUAAGUUUGGAACUGCCUGAAACUAUCUUUGCCAUUAUUUGCAGAGAGUCUGUUUGAGAAUGAAGCCAAUCCAAGAAAGAAGAAUCCAAGAGAUACAUACAAAGUUAUUAUUUCAUUUGAGUCCCACAAUCCAGCUGUAUCUAAAAAUACCCAUUAAACUUCCAAGUUAUUUG